AACGAACGCUGGCGGCGCGUCUUAAGCAUGCAAGUCGGACGGCAAGAAGAGAGCUUGCUCUCUUCCUAGAGUGGCGGACUGGUGAGUAACACGUGGGUGACGUACCCUUUAGCUGGGGAUAGCCGGUAGAAAUACCGGGUAAUACCGAAUAAUCUUGCUUCUUUGAAGUGAAGUAAGGAAAGGAGCUUCGGCUUCACUGAAGGAACGGCCCGCGCACUAUUAGCUAGUUGGUGAGGUAACGGCUCACCAAGGCAACGAUAGUUAUCCGGCCUAAGAGGGUGAACGGACACAUUGGGACUGAGAUACGGCCCAGACUCCUACGGGAGGCAGCAGCUAAGAAUAUUCCGCAAUGGAGGAAACUCUGACGGAGCGACGCCGCGUGGAUGAUGAAGGUCGGAAGAUUGUAAAAUCCUUUAAGUAUGAUGAAUAACCUGAUCAGGAAAUGGGACAGGGAUGACCGUAAUACUUGAAUAAGCAACGGCUAAUUACGUG
This 492-nucleotide ribosomal RNA is filed under the name uncultured bacterium. RNAcentral's name for it is "bacterial SSU rRNA". It matches the Rfam family "Bacterial small subunit ribosomal RNA", at positions 29 to 507 of the family's 1533-position model. The record is from RNAcentral.